AUUGAACGCUGGCGGCAUGCCUUACACAUGCAAGUCGAACGGCAGCACGGGGGCAACCCUGGUGGCGAGUGGCGAACGGGUGAGUAACAUAUCGGAACAUACCCUAGAGUGGGGGAUAACGUAGCGAAAGUUACGCUAAUACCGCAUACGAUCUAAGGAUGAAAGUGGGGGAUCUUCGGACCUCAUGCUCAUGGAGUGGCCGAUAUCUGAUUAGCUAGUUGGUGAGGUAAAGGCUCACCAAGGCGACGAUCAGUAGCUGGUCUGAGAGGACGACCAGCCACACUGGAACUGAGACACGGUCCAGACUCCUACGGGAGGCAGCAGUGGGGGAAUUUUGGACAAUGGGCGCAAGCCUGAUCCAGCAAUGCCGCGUGCAGGGAUGAAGGCCUUCGGGUUGUAACU
RNAcentral lists this ribosomal RNA (402 nucleotides) under uncultured bacterium. Its description in RNAcentral is "bacterial SSU rRNA". It matches the Rfam family "Bacterial small subunit ribosomal RNA", at positions 30 to 431 of the family's 1533-position model. The record is from RNAcentral.